Molecule: non-coding RNA, 799 nt
Organism: Urocitellus parryii (Arctic ground squirrel)
Lineage: Eukaryota; Metazoa; Chordata; Mammalia; Rodentia; Sciuridae
Source: RefSeq, a predicted model, not a curated record
AUAUGCGGCUGACAGCAGGCAGCAGCCGAGGUGGCGUUUUCUCCUCAAUGUCUGUAGCGUCACGUCAGAACUGAUCUCGGUUUUGCUGAAAUACCUAGUACACAAGCUCCCAAAGAAAAACAGUAAUAAUGUGCAAAAUGUAAAGAUGUUAGUGGGUUUUGCUCCAAGAGUACCCAGAAAAAAAUGUCAACCACUUGGACAAAUAGAAGGCAGAGGCAAUGAUCAGAGUACUCCAGUGGGUGUCUGCCUGCCCAGGGAUGGAGCGCCUGUCAGAUCCAGCCAUAGGUCUCUCUGGGUGCGAGAUUGAAACAUUUCCCCUGGACAACAGUUCUCUGAAAUCCUUGUGCUUUGGACUGGAAAGAACAUCAUCACCCUAAGAUCCCCAGCUGCAGGCUUGCCUGCAGGUGCCUAGUGCCACCUGAACCACAGGGCUCAGCCCUUUGAUCAUGAUGGAGAGGAGCACUGAUGUUGGCAGACUGAGAGCAGAGAUCCCAACUGGCAUUGUGAGACACUGAACACCAUGAUAUCACCUGUUUCCUUAAAAAACCAAGCAUCCUAAAGGACCAUCUGGACAGGUGUGGUGGUGCACACCUGUAAUCCCAGCGACUCAGGAGGCUGAGGACAUGAAACAACUCCCACAGACCUUGAUGAAGGACAUCUGGUACCAGCUGGGGAGACGGGGUGUUCCUCUGCACCCAGCCUUGCACACAUUUUCAACAUUUGUCUGUACCGUCUUAAACCCAGCAAAAGCCUCUUGGUGACCUCCAAGAAGAAAUACUUCAUUUUCUCCCAUCCUACC